RNAcentral lists this ribosomal RNA (460 nucleotides) under uncultured bacterium. RNAcentral describes it as "partial 16S ribosomal RNA". It matches the Rfam family "Bacterial small subunit ribosomal RNA", at positions 338 to 795 of the family's 1533-position model. The record is from RNAcentral.
CCUACGGGAGGCAGCAGUGAGGAAUAUUGGUCAAUGGACGAGAGUCUGAACCAGCCAAGUAGCGUGAAGGAUGACUGCCCUAUGGGUUGUAAACUUCUUUUAUAUGGGAAUAAAAUGUUCCACGUGUGGGAUUUUGUAUGUACCAUAUGAAUAAUGAUCGGCUAACUCCGUGCCAGCAGCCGCGGUAAUACGGAGGAUCCGAGCGUUAUCCGGAUUUAUUGGGUUUAAAGGGAGCGUAGGUGGAUUGUUAAGUCAGUUGUGAAAGUUUGCGGCUCAACCGUAAAAUUGCAGUUGAAACUGGCAGUCUUGAGUACAGUAGAGGUGGGCGGAAUUCGUGGUGUAGCGGUGAAAUGCUUAGAUAUCACGAAGAACUCCGAUUGCGAAGGCAGUUCACUGGACUUCAACUGACACUGAGGCUCGAAAGUGUGGGUAUCAAACAGGAUUAGAUACCCCAGUAGUC